This 433-nucleotide ribosomal RNA is filed under the name uncultured bacterium. RNAcentral's name for it is "bacterial SSU rRNA". It matches the Rfam family "Bacterial small subunit ribosomal RNA", at positions 29 to 507 of the family's 1533-position model. The record is from RNAcentral.
AACGAACGCUGGCGGCAUGCCUAACACAUGCAAGUCGAACGAGACCUUCGGGUCUAGUGGCGCACGGGUGCGUAACGCGUGGGAAUCUACCCUUGGGUUCGGAAUAACUCAGAGAAAUUUGAGCUAAUACCGGAUGAUGUCGAAAGACCAAAGAUUUAUCGCCCAGGGAUGAGCCCGCGUAGGAUUAGCUAGUUGGUGAGGUAAAGGCUCACCAAGGCGACGAUCCUUAGCUGGUCUGAGAGGAUGAUCAGCCACACUGGGACUGAGACACGGCCCAGACUCCUACGGGAGGCAGCAGUGGGGAAUAUUGGACAAUGGGCGAAAGCCUGAUCCAGCAAUGCCGCGUGAGUGAUGAAGGCCUUAGGGUUGUAAAGCUCUUUUACCCGGGGUGAUAAUGACAGUACCGGGAGAAUAAGCCCCGGCUAACUCCGUG